ACAUAUAAUAAAUAUAAUAAAAGAAAUGGAGUGAGUGGAGAAUAGUGGAAUGAUAAAAAGAUGAGUGAUUUUCACUCUAGGUCACUUUCCAUCUUUUUAUUACAUAAUAAGUCACUUCUUGCUAUUGGGGUAGUUUUUGUGACUAAAAUCCAAACAAUUGCUAACUAAUCUUAUUCUUCUAACUAGAGUGGUCCCACCAAUUUUAAGCUUUGUCAUUUUCCUUCUCUCUCUCUCAGUAGCAAGAAAAAUAACUUUAAUUGUAGACACAAGAAAAUUUUGAAUCUGAAAAUAAAGAGAUACACGACGGUGAGGAUGAAGCUAUGAAAGAGUGACCGUUGUGGUCUCUUUGAGCUCACCUGGUCGGAUUCUCGUUGCGUCGUCGUCACCUUAAACACGAACCACUCAAAUUCAAGCUUUUCUCUUCUGCAACUCUUCCUUCUCUGCCUUGAUUUGUGCCCUGCAACUCAUCUGUACCGUUUCCGUCUCGUCUUCUCUUAAGACGUCAAAGCCCCAAAUCCGUAGUAGUUUUCUUUGUCAUCUCCUUCGCUGUAUCUACAUAUCUUCAUCUCCUCUGCUGUGUUUCUACAACUUUCCCUACGUCGUCACCUUGUCUCUUCGCCGCGGCACUGUUUCGAGAAGCUAGAGAACAUCAAUGGCUACUUUUAUUUUUUGCAACUUUGGUCCUUCGUGUUUUAUAUAACUUUGGUUUUGCAACUUUGGUCCUUUAUGGACAGAUUGCUAUUGUUGGGUUUCAGGAUGAGUGAUAUAAUCUUACUGUAAUCUGAUAUUGAAACGUUUAAACAGUUUAUGUAAUCGACGAAGAAUAAGAUGAUCUUUAGCCCUCUCUUGUUCAUUAAACAAACUUAUUAAAUCAUAAAAAAAACUGAGAAAUUUGCUGUACAUGUGUACACAUUUAACAUUUUGUUGUAUGUACGGUGAAAACAUGAAUUUGUCAACGAACAAAGUGUACACAUGUACAUUUGUGAACAAGCGUACAUAUGGCAAUGUCCAUACUAAUGUAAUUGUGUACACACAUACGAAUUAGUAUACAUAUGAACAAUGUACAAAUGUUAAAACAUACAAUAGAUUUAUAAAGUUUAUAUAUGAAAAGUUUACACAUGUACACUUGUGAACCAAUGUACAUAUGGCAAUGUCCACAUAUAUUUUAUUAUCCACGUGUACACAUAUAUUUUAUUGUCCACGUGUACAAGGUUUUCCAAAAACUACAUGUACCAGGUUUUGCGAAAAAUCACAUAUCUACCAGUAUGUUUGUACAUUGCUCUUAUGAUAUUUGAUGAUCUUAGUAUUUUUGGUAUAGUUGCUAAAAAAUAUAUUUUAAGUAACUUGUUUUAAUUCUUAGAUCGUUAUAGUUCUCAUUAUAUUUAUAUAUUGAAUUUGUUUGUUCAAUAUUCAUAUCAUAUGGGAUAAAAAUAAAUUUUAAAAUUUCAUUUUUUGUCAACUUUAGAAAUUCAAUUAAAUCAUUUAUAUCAUUCCAUUCAUAAUAUAGUGUCCACAUGGACAUCCAAAGCCAUUGAUUUUUCUUUGGAGUUUUGUGUUUACUUUUAUGGAAAACAUUAACAAUAUUUGGUGUCCAAACUAGCAUAGAGAAAUUAUCAGUGUGAACAUAUGAAUUAUUAUUUUCAACAAUGACAUCUCAUGAUUUUUUAUGGUUUUAACAUAUGUUUUAGUUUAUUUAAAUUAUUUACGAUGCGUUUUGAUGUUGUUGUAUGUAUGUGUUCAUUUGCAUAUUAUAAGGGCUCGGAAGCACAAUUGGAAGUUUGAAAUUAGUUCAAGAGGACUUAUACGAAAAUCUGAGAGUUUGGGUUCACAUUGAGAAGAACAGAAAUGUUCAAGGACCAAACAUGCAAAAAAGGAGAAGUUUGGCUUGGAAACGAUCGAUCUAUGUCUUCAUCACCAAAACCAAUCAAUCAUGGAUUAACUAGAGGUCGGUGCUGGCUUAUCACAGAGUCAUGUUCACGGAUCGAGCUUAAGCAUGACUUGAAGAUGAAUCGAGACGACGAAGGUGGAUCUGUAGUCGGAGAUCGCCGCGGUGGCUCUCCGUCGUCGCGCUGAGAGAUCCUGGUUGCAGUCGGGACAAGAAGACACAUAGGGCCUAGCGAUUUGAUGCGGUUGCAGCCAACACAGUAACAAUAACGCUCCAAUCUUUCUUCAUUAACGACAAGAUCUCACGGCGGACAGGAGACACCGCGGAAGAGAAGCCCCAAGGAGAAUGAAGACCACUGCGGUGGAUGAAGCUCGCCGUGGCUCUGAAGAUUCCGGUGGACAGUUCGGCGAGUCCCGGUGUCUAUGGUGUGAUGGUGAAAUCUCAGUUAUGUUUUAAUAAAAAAAAACCUGAUAAAGAUGAAGAGAGUGUUCAAAAUAAUAAAAAUAAAAAAAAUGAAGAGAAAAGUAACGAAGAGAAUGGGACCACCAUUUAUAAAAGGAGAGAAGAGAGUGUGUGGAAAGAGAAUAGUUCAGUUUUAGUUAGAAAAGCUAACGACAAUUUGAUCAAAUAGUUAGAGAAAGUGUGUGGGUAGAAGAAAAUGUCCUAGGAUGUUAUUAAAACUGUAAAUGUGACCUACAAUGUAAUACUUUCUAAAAAGAUUGGAGAUAUGGUUGAGAAAGUAAUAAAGAGAAGAAAAGGAAGAAGCGACGGGGAAGCGACAAGUAAGAAGAUGCUUUACUCAAAGAGGCAUGAAGAGAUAAGAAUUAAGCCACUGUUUCUAUCAGAUUCUUUGGUCCCUCUUUAGCCUUUUUCAUCCUUCUAUUGGUUAUAUUCUGCUUGCAUCCGUCAUCCAUGAGUUCACUACACCCACACAAAAAAAUUGUAUUAACCCUAACGUUCUUCUUCUUUUUUUUUUUUUUGGUAAAAACGUUUUUAGGUCAUGUUUCUUUUCUGACUAUGGGCCGUAUACUAUCUUUUAGCUACCGUAAACAUUUUUAUAUGUUGAUGAACCGCCAUUUAAAAUUUGCUUUUGAUAAAAAAACUCAAUAUAUGUAAAUUGCAACCCUACUUAUUCAAGUAAUCUUCGUACAACAUCAACUAGACCUUUGAUAUAAACUUUAUCUAUUGCGCGCUUCCAUAUAAUCUUAUGCGGUUCUGCUAGAAAGUAAGAUAGAUUUAGAUGUUUUGUGAAAUUAAUUCAUUUUUACAAUGGAAACGUAGACUUGGGCCAGGAGCUUUUUGCUCCUGAGAGGCAUGAAGAUAUGGUAGAGAAAGUAAUAAAGCGAAAAAAAGGAAGAAGCUAUGGGGAAGCGAUAAGUACGAACAUGCUUUACUCAAAGAGGCAUGAAGAGAUAAGAAUUAAUAAGGAGUUCUUUUCUUAACUUGUCGAACCAACCUAGUUUUUUACCUCUUUCUAGUAUUGUUGUUUAAAUCUACUUAAAAAAAAUCUACAGGCAUGGGCGACAUGACAUUUCUUAUCUAGUACUACUGAAUAUGUGAAAUGUUAUUACACUAGAGGAUUUUGUAUUUUUGCAAGAAAUAACAUGUUGAGUAUGAUCUUCUUUUUGUGAACAUAUACAAAUGAGUAUGAUCAAAAAAUAUAUAACAACACGAAAGGAAACACAAGACAGUCAAAACCCAUUUACUGCUCAGAGGUCUUCUAAUGGUGCAUCAUUUUGAAGGAAAACAUAAAAAAU
This 3642-nucleotide long non-coding RNA is filed under the name Brassica rapa (field mustard). Its description in RNAcentral is "long non-coding RNA (BRAP_LNC000996)". Lineage: Eukaryota; Viridiplantae; Streptophyta; Magnoliopsida; Brassicales; Brassicaceae. The record is from RNAcentral.